Vicia faba (fava bean) is the source of this 267-nucleotide non-coding RNA. The record is from the annotation of a GenBank genome assembly. Lineage: Eukaryota; Viridiplantae; Streptophyta; Magnoliopsida; Fabales; Fabaceae.
AUGAGAUUCGAUGCCGAUACUCUCAUCUCCCGCUAUAACCUUCAUCUGUCCACCGUUCAAGCCACAAUCCGGUGCCUCCGUUUUGUUUUUCACCUGAGUCCGCAACAGACCAAACCUCCACCUUACGGCACCAACUCAAAUUUGGCUCGUUCAGUAUCUCAGCGCUAUUCGGUAAAUUUUAAUGUGUUUUUUCUUUUAUUGAAAAUGCGAUUAAAUUGUUGGUGCUGUUGUUUUUUUUUUUUUGUGGAAAAGAACUGUAGAAUAUAA